Molecule: ribosomal RNA, 484 nt
Filed under: uncultured bacterium
Lineage: Bacteria
Description: partial 16S ribosomal RNA
Rfam family: Bacterial small subunit ribosomal RNA
Source: RNAcentral
GACGAACGCUGACGGCGUGCUUAACACAUGCAAGUCGAACGAUGAACCCGGAGCUUGCUCCGGUGGGUUAGUGGCGAACGGGUGAGUAACACGUGAGUAACCUGCCCUUGACUCUGGGAUAACUGCGGGAAACUGUAGCUAAUACCGGAUACGACCCUCGGCGGCAUCGCCAGGGGGUGGAAAGAAUUUCGGUCAAGGAUGGACUCGCGGCCUAUCAGCUAGUUGGUGAGGUAACGGCUCACCAAGGCGACGACGGGUAGCCGGCCUGAGAGGGUGACCGGCCACACUGGGACUGAGACACGGCCCAGACUCCUACGGGAGGCAGCAGUGGGGAAUAUUGCACAAUGGGCGCAAGCCUGAUGCAGCAGCGCCGCGUGAGGGAUGACGGCCUUCGGGUUGUAAACCUCUUUUAGUAGGGAAGAAGCGAAAGUGACGGUACCUGCAGAAAAAGCACCGGCUAACUACGUGCCAGCAGCCGCAGUAA